CCUACGGGCGGCAGCAGUGAGGAAUAUUGGUCAAUGGACGAGAGUCUGAACCAGCCAAGUAGCGUGAAGGAUGACUGCCCUAUGGGUUGUAAACUUCUUUUAUAUGGGAAUAAAAUGUUCCACGUGUGGGAUUUUGUAUGUACCAUAUGAAUAAGGAUCGGCUACCUCCGUGCCAGCAGCCGCGGUAAUACGGAGGAUCCGAGCGUUAUCCGGAUUUAUUGGGUUUAAAGGGAGCGUAGGUGGAUGGUUAAGUCAGUUGUGAAAGUUUGCGGCUCAACCGUAAAAUUGCAGUUGAAACUGGCAGUCUUGAGUACAGUAGAGGUGGGCGGAAUUCGUGGUGUAGCGGUGAAAUGCUUAGAUAUCACGAAGAACUCCGAUUGCGAAGGCAGUUCACUGGACUGCAACUGACACUGAGGCUCGAAAGUGUGGGUAUCAAACAGGAUUAGAUACCCCAGUAGUC
RNAcentral lists this ribosomal RNA (460 nucleotides) under uncultured bacterium. RNAcentral describes it as "partial 16S ribosomal RNA". It matches the Rfam family "Bacterial small subunit ribosomal RNA", at positions 338 to 795 of the family's 1533-position model. The record is from RNAcentral.